This is a long non-coding RNA of Hibiscus syriacus, 1154 nucleotides long. RefSeq lists it as uncharacterized. The transcript has 8 exons. Lineage: Eukaryota; Viridiplantae; Streptophyta; Magnoliopsida; Malvales; Malvaceae. The record is from RefSeq and is a predicted model, not a curated record.
UUAAAUUAUCUCCCACUUUUACUUCCUUUUUUAUUUUUAUUUUUGUCCUCCAUUUUUCUCUGCAACCAAAGCAAGUUGCCAACUCAGAGUCUCAGUCCACCGUUCACCGGCGGUAAUUUUGAAACCAUGGAAUCGUACUCGAGUCCUACCUUAACUCAGUGCGAUUAGAUAUUGGUUGAGCAACAAGUCUACAACAUGCCUCACAAUUCCUAAUCCUUCAUGUUGGAGCUUCAACGAGAAAAUCAUUUGGAGUACUUAACGAAUGGAUUAAAGCAGCUCGAUCCUUCUUUCUGCGUACUGGAUGCCAAUCACCCUUGGAUUUGUUAUUGGAUACUUCAUUCGAUUGCUUUAAUGAACGAGUUUGUAGAUCCUGAAUUGGAAGAUAAUACUAUUUAUUUUCUUAGCCGUUGUCAGAUGCCUAAUCUUUCAACAACAUAUGAUGCAGUCAAUUCACUUGUUACUUUGGGCAGUGACAAAGUGUUGUGAUCAAUUAAUAGAGAAAAGCUCUACUCAUUUAUGCGGCAAAUGGAAGAUGAUAGUGGGGGUUUCAGAAUGCAUGAUGGUGGAGAAAUUGACGUUCGAGCAUGUUAUACAGCCAUCUCAGUUGCAAGUCUUUUGAAUAUUUUGGAUGAUGAACUUGGUUAAAAUGUUGGAAAUUACAUUUAAGAUUUUAGAUUUCAAAUUUUCAAAGCAACAGAGGAAAAAUCGCCUUUGGUGUGAACAUUGUAAGAAGCCAGGCCAUAUGAUAGAUCAAUGUUGGAAGCUGCACGGAAAACCAGCCGAUUGGCAGCCCACACGGUCCAGGUUUCAAAAGGAGCCUCAUAUUGCCUCUCAAGAUGAUUCCUCAAGCAGUUUUAGCAAGAAACAGAUGGAGGAACUGUAGUAAAAUUUGAGUAGUAUAACAACCAAGCCUACAAAUGUGACUUAUACUACCACUGAUGGAAAUAAUCCAUAUGCUUCCUCGGUACAAUGGAUAAUAGACUCGGGUGCAUCAGAUCAUAUGACAGGAAAUAUUGAUCUCUUGGAGGAAUAUAGUGAAAGAAGCUUACCAGCUUCUAUCAAAAUAGCAGAUUGCUCUCUCACUACAUUCAAAGGGAGUAGUUCUAUUACAUUAAACAAAAAUCUACUACUUCAUAAUGUCCUCUAUGUUCUUA